GAUCCUGGCUCAGGAUGAACGCUGGCGGUAUGCCUAACACAUGCAAGUCGAACGAUGUCUUCGGACAUAGUGGCGGACGGGUGAGUAACGCGUGAGAACCUACCUUCAAGUCGGGGACAACAACUGGAAACGGUUGCUAAUACCGGAUGUGCCGAGAGGUGAAAGAUUAAUUGCUUGAAGAAGGGCUCGCGUCUGAUUAGCUAGAUGGUGGGGUAAGAGCCUACCAUGGCGACGAUCAGUAGCUGGUCUGAGAGGAUGAGCAGCCACACUGGGACUGAGACACGGCCCAGACUCCUACGGGAGGCAGCAGUGGGGAAUUUUCCGCAAUGGGCGAAAGCCUGACGGAGCAAUACCGCGUGAGGGAGGAAGGCUCUUGCGUUGUAAACCUCUUUUCUCAGGGAAGAAGAUCUGACGGUACCUGAGGAAUAAGCAUCGGCUAACUCCGUGCCAGCAGCCGCGGUAAUACGGAGGAUGCAAGCGUUAUCCGGAGUCAUUGGGCGUAAAGCGUCCGCAGGUGGCCCAUCAAGUCUGUCGUCAAAGAGUGGAGCUUAACUCCAUAAAGGCGGUGGAAACUGGUGAGCUAGAGUUCGGGGUAGCAGGAAUUCCCAGUGUAGCGGUGAAAUGCGUAGAGAUUGGGAAGAACAUCGGUGGCGAAGGCGUGCUACUGGGCCGAAACUGACACUCAGGGACGAAAGCUAGGGGAGCGAAAGGGAUUAGAUACCCCUGUAGUCCUAGCUGUAAACGAUGGAAACUAGGCGUGGCUUGUAUCGACCCGAGCCGUGCCGAAGCUAACGCGUUAAGUUUCCCGCCUGGGGAGUACGCACGCAAGUGUGAAACUCAAAGGAAUUGACGGGGGCCCGCACAAGCGGUGGAGUAUGUGGUUUAAUUCGAUGCAACGCGAAGAACCUUACCAAGGCUUGACAUGUCCAGAAUCCUGCUGAGAGGCGGGAGUGCCUUCGGGAGCUGGAACACAGGUGGUGCAUGGCUGUCGUCAGCUCGUGUCGUGAGAUGUUGGGUUAAGUCCCGCAACGAGCGCAACCCCCGUUUUUAGUUGCCAGCAUUAAGUUGGGCACUCUAGAGAGACUGCCGGUGACAAACCGGAGGAAGGUGGGGAUGACGUCAAGUCAGCAUGCCCCUUACGUCUUGGGCUACACACGUACUACAAUGGUUGGGACAAAGAGCAGCGACCCCGCGAGGGUAAGCGAAUCUCGUCAAACUCAGCCUCAGUUCAGAUUGCAGACUGCAACUCGUCUGCAUGAAGGAGGAAUCGCUAGUAAUCGCAGGUCAGCAUACUGCGGUGAAUUCGUUCCCGGGCCUUGUACACACCGCCCGUCACACCAUGGGAGCUGGUCACGCCCGAAGUCAUUACCUCAACCUUUCGAGGAGGGGGAUGCCUAAGGCAGGGCUAGUGACUG
Molecule: ribosomal RNA, 1415 nt
Filed under: metagenome
Description: bacterial SSU rRNA
Rfam family: Bacterial small subunit ribosomal RNA
Source: RNAcentral